This 163-nucleotide ribosomal RNA is filed under the name Borinda angustissima. RNAcentral describes it as "Fargesia angustissima 5.8S ribosomal RNA". It matches the Rfam family "5.8S ribosomal RNA". From Rfam's summary of the family: 5.8S ribosomal RNA (5.8S rRNA) is a component of the large subunit of the eukaryotic ribosome. It is transcribed by RNA polymerase I as part of the 45S precursor that also contains 18S and 28S rRNA. Lineage: Eukaryota; Viridiplantae; Streptophyta; Magnoliopsida; Poales; Poaceae. The record is from RNAcentral.
ACAUGACUCUCGGCAACGGAUAUCUCGGCUCUCGCAUCGAUGAAGAACGUAGCGAAAUGCGAUACCUGGUGUGAAUUGCAGAAUCCCGCGAACCAUCGAGUCUUUGAACGCAAGUUGCGCCCGAGGCCUUCGGGCCGAGGGCACACCUGCCUGGGCGUCACGC